UACGGGGGGGCAAGCGUUGUUCGGAAUUACUGGGCGUAAAGGGCGCGUAGGCGGCCCGCUAAGUCGAACGUGAAAUCCCCAGGCUCAACCUGGGAACUGCGUCCGAUACUGGCAGGCUUGAAUCCGGGAGAGGGAUGUGGAAUUCCAGGUGUAGCGGUGAAAUGCGUAGAUAUCUGGAGGAACACCGGUGGCGAAGGCGGCAUCCUGGACCGGCAUUGACGCUGAGGCGCGAAAGCCAGGGGAGCAAACGGG
This 252-nucleotide ribosomal RNA is filed under the name uncultured bacterium. Its description in RNAcentral is "partial 16S ribosomal RNA". It matches the Rfam family "Bacterial small subunit ribosomal RNA", at positions 524 to 776 of the family's 1533-position model. The record is from RNAcentral.